AGCUUUGUGCAGCGGCAAUAUUAUAGCCAGCGAGGUUUAUCCGAGACGCGAUUAUUGCUAAUUGAAAACUUUUCCCAAUACCCCACUGUGACAACUUGAAAUAUAGUCGGCAUUGGCAAUUUUUGACAGUCUCUACGGAGG
RNAcentral lists this small nuclear RNA (141 nucleotides) under Echinops telfairi (small Madagascar hedgehog). RNAcentral's name for it is "U4 spliceosomal RNA (ENSETEG00000021485.1)". It matches the Rfam family "U4 spliceosomal RNA". From Rfam's summary of the family: U4 small nuclear RNA (U4 snRNA) is a component of the major U2-dependent spliceosome. The structure of U4 snRNA from yeast and human has been reported. Lineage: Eukaryota; Metazoa; Chordata; Mammalia; Afrosoricida; Tenrecidae. The record is from RNAcentral.